AUUGAACGCUGGCGGCAUGCCUUACACAUGCAAGUCGAACGGCAGCACGGGAGCAAUCCUGGUGGCGAGUGGCGAACGGGUGAGUAAUGUAUCGGAACGUACCUUUCAGUGGGGGAUAACGUAGCGAAAGUUACGCUAAUACCGCAUAUUCUGUGCGCAGGAAAGCAGGGGAUCGCAAGACCUUGCGCUGAUUGAGCGGCCGAUAUCAGAUUAGCUAGUUGGUGAGGUAAAGGCUCACCAAGGCGACGAUCUGUAGCGGGUCUGAGAGGAUGAUCCGCCACACUGGAACUGAGACACGGUCCAGACUCCUACGGGAGGCAGCAGUGGGGAAUUUUGGACAAUGGGGGCAACCCUGAUCCAGCCAUGCCGCGUGAGUGAAGAAGGCCUUCGGGUUGUAAAGCUCUUUCGGCCGGGAAGAAAUCGCAUGGGUUAAUACCCUGUGCGGAUGACGGUACCGGCAUAAGAAGCACCGGCUAACUACGUGCCAGCAGCCGCGGUAA
RNAcentral lists this ribosomal RNA (500 nucleotides) under uncultured Rhodocyclaceae bacterium. Its description in RNAcentral is "bacterial SSU rRNA". It matches the Rfam family "Bacterial small subunit ribosomal RNA", at positions 30 to 523 of the family's 1533-position model. The record is from RNAcentral. Lineage: Bacteria; Pseudomonadati; Pseudomonadota; Betaproteobacteria; Rhodocyclales; Rhodocyclaceae.